RNAcentral lists this ribosomal RNA (301 nucleotides) under uncultured bacterium. RNAcentral describes it as "partial 16S ribosomal RNA". It matches the Rfam family "Bacterial small subunit ribosomal RNA", at positions 509 to 807 of the family's 1533-position model. The record is from RNAcentral.
CAGUAGCCGCGGGAAUACGGAGGGUGCAAGCGUUGUCCGGAUUUAUUGGGUUUAAAGGGUGCGUAGGCGGCUAUUUAAGUCAGCGGUGAAAGACUCCGGCUCAACCGGAGCAGUGCCAUUGAUACUGGAUAGCUUGAGUGUUGGAGGGGUACAUGGAAUUGAUGGUGUAGCGGUGAAAUGCAUAGAUACCAUCAGGAACACCGAUAGCGAAGGCAUUGUACUGGCCAACAACUGACGCUGAGGCACGAAAGCAUGGGGAGCGAACAGGAUUAGAUACCCGGGUAGUCCCUGUCUCUUAUAC